AGACCCUGCAGCUCUCAGACUGGGGCGGCCCUCUCCCUUGCCCUCCUCUGCUCGGCUGUGAUUUCGCUGUGCUUCUGUGGGAGAAAAUGCUAUAAGUGACUCUAUGGACAUCCGUAAAAAUAAAUGCCAGCUACUAUGACUAUUCAGGUGUACAGGUGACAUGCGAUAUUCAGAAAGAAGCUAAGAGUCUGGGGUUGCAUCAUCCUCCCCAGACAGGAAUGGGCUGAUGGCACUCUGCUCAGAAUAUCUCCUGGUUCCCUGUACAUGCAGGAUGAACACCCGCCCGAAAAGUCUUCCACAGCGCGGCCACUCCUCUCCCUCUUCCUUUCACCCUGAGGCCUGCUGCACUCCUCACCUGCUCCAGGAGAGCAGAGCCUGUGGUUUCCUGGCCCAAUGGACCUUCCCCAUCUCCAGACAUGCUUUACACAUCUCCAGCCCAGAGCCUUCGCACAAGCCUUUCCUGCUGUGUUCACUGUGUUGAAUUCCUGUUCCUCUUCCUUAUCCAGGCUCAGUUCUCACUCCUAAUUUAAUGAUGUGGCAAGUCUCUGAGUUAGAGAUAGCUCUCAUCUGUAUCAGGGGAGAACUAAUAUACACAACAACAAUAGCGCACAUUGAUCAAUUACUGACUGUGCCAGGCACUGUUCUGUGCAUGUGCUCUGCAUGUACAAUUCUGGUUUCCUCAGAAUCACACUGAGAUGUAGCCACUAUUAUUAUCCCCAUUUUUCAAUAAGGAAACUAAAGUGGCCCAAAGAAUGUAAGAAACUGGCCCAAAGCCACCCCCCUAGUAAGAGGUGGAGAGAAGAUGAGGAUGCUGGUCCUCUGGCUCAGGCUGCUCCUCAAGGUCUCGGUGGGGAGAAAGAGGUAAGGAAUGUGAAGUGUUGGGCACAAAAGCAAACCACGGUUCUCCUCCCACCCUCCCCACCAGAGUUUACCUGGAAAUGGUUAUUUUGUGUCUUUUCCCUUGAAUAUAUUAUUAAAUCCCCAAGAACAGGAAUUGGCUCUUACUCAUCUUCAUGUUUCUCCAGCCACCAGCCCAGGUUUUACUCAUAGUAGGUGCUCACACUAAAAAGAAGAAAGAAAAGAGAAAAAGUUCUUCUGUGCCUUGAAAGUGCGAAGUGAAGGCUACAAUCUGGGACAAGAGAAAAUGAGCAGUACGGCACGGUACUUAAAGCCUGGAUUUCUGGAGCCAAACAAGCAGAUCAAAUUGCAGCUUCACUUACAGCUGUGUGACCUUGGGCAAGCUGCUUAUCUCUUUGUGCCCCAGUGAGUUGUCUCAUAUAUACACAUGCAUGUACAGUCGUCCCUCAGUAUCUAAAGGGAUUGGUUCCGGGACCUCCUUCGGAUUCCAAAAUCCAUGGAUGCUCAAGUCCCUGCUGUGAAAUGGCAUAGAAUUUGCAUAUAACCUACAAACAUCCUCCCAUGUACUUGUUUUUUUGUUUGUUUGUUUGUUUGUUUGUUUGAGAUGGAGUUUUGCUUUUGUCGCCCAGGCUGGAGUGCAGUGGUGUGAUCUCUGCUCACUGCAAGCUCCGCCUCCUGGGUUCAAGCGAUUCUCCUGCCUCAGCCUCCUGAGUAGCUGGGACUUCAGGCGCAUGCCACCAUACCCUGCUAAUUUUUGUAUUUUUAGUAGAGACAGGGUUUCACCAUGUUGGCCAGACUGGUCUCCAUCUCCUGACCUCAUGAUCCACCCCCCUCGGCCUCCCAAAGUGCUGGGAUUACAGGCAUGAGCUACUAUGCCCGGCCCUCCCAUGUACUUCAAAUCAUCUCUAGAUUACUUAUAAUACCUAAUACAAUGUAAAUGCUAUGAAAAUAGCUAUUAUACUGUAUCGUUUAGGGAAUAAUGACAAGAAAAAAGUCUGUACAUGUUCAGUACAGACACAAUUUCUUUUAAAAUAUUUUCAAUCUGAGGUUGGUUGAAUCCAUGGUGGAGGAACUCCUGGAUAUGGCUACAGAGCGCUGACUGAGUCAUACUCAGCAUAACAACAUUGAGGUCAACAAGGGACUGCAAAUAUGGUAGUGGUCUCAUAAGAUUAUAAUGGAACUGAAGAUUUCUAUCACCUAGUAACUUCAUAGUGUCAUAGCGCAAUGCAUCCCUAGCAUGUGUGUGUGGUGAUGCUGGUAUAAAGAAGCCUACUAUGCUGCCAGUCAUGUAAAAGUGUAGCACAUACUAUUAUGUACAGUGCAUAAUACCUGAUCAUUAUAACAAACAGCUAUGUUACUGGCUUAUGAAUUUGCUAUACUAUACUUUUUAUUAUUAUUUUAGAGUGUACUCCUUCUACCUAUAAAAAAGUUAACUGUAAAACCAAUUACAGAUAGAUAGACAGAUAGAUGAAUAGGUGGAUGGAUAAGUGGAUGGAUAGAUGGAUAGAUAGACGGAUGGAUGGAUGGAUGAUAGAUGGACGAAUAGAUAGAUAGAUAGAUAGAUAGAUAGAUAGAUAGAUAGAUAAUCACAGUGUUACUUUGAGGAAUGAAUGAAUGAAUAUAUGCAAAGCACUUGGAACAGUGUCUGAACCAUGGGAAAGGCUCGAUGUGUUUGCUAUCAUUAUAAUUCUGUAUCUUAGCCCAACAAAUGGAACAUGAGUUAUUAACCACCUACCUUCUGAGAAAAUGAUAAUAAAAGAGCUUAUCUGCAAAUAGUACCUUC
Homo sapiens (human) is the source of this 2641-nucleotide long non-coding RNA. RefSeq lists it as uncharacterized. NCBI's taxonomy places the organism in Eukaryota, Metazoa, Chordata, Mammalia, Primates, Hominidae. The transcript is spliced from 2 exons. The record is from RefSeq and is a predicted model, not a curated record.